Molecule: ribosomal RNA, 220 nt
Filed under: uncultured bacterium
Lineage: Bacteria
Description: partial 16S ribosomal RNA
Rfam family: Bacterial small subunit ribosomal RNA
Source: RNAcentral
UAAUGCUUGGGAAUCUGGCUUAUGGAGGGGGAUAACUACGGGAAACUGUAGCUAAUACCGCGUAGUACCGAGAGAUGAAAGUGCGGGACCGCAAGGCCGCAUGCCAUGAGAUGAGCCCAAGUGGGAUUAGGUAGUUGGUGGGGUAAAGGCCUACCAAGCCUGCGAUCUCUAGCUGGUCUGAGAGGAUGGCCAGCCACACUGGAACUGAGACACGGUCCAG